Molecule: ribosomal RNA, 76 nt
Filed under: Desmodesmus komarekii
Lineage: Eukaryota; Viridiplantae; Chlorophyta; Chlorophyceae; Sphaeropleales; Scenedesmaceae
Description: partial 5.8S rRNA
Rfam family: 5.8S ribosomal RNA
About the family: 5.8S ribosomal RNA (5.8S rRNA) is a component of the large subunit of the eukaryotic ribosome. It is transcribed by RNA polymerase I as part of the 45S precursor that also contains 18S and 28S rRNA. Functionally, it is thought that 5.8S rRNA may be involved in ribosome translocation.
Source: RNAcentral
GAACCAUCGAAUCUUUGAACGCAUAUUGCGCUCGACUCCUCGGAGAAGAGCAUGUCUGCCUCAGCGUCGGUUUACA